Molecule: ribosomal RNA, 473 nt
Filed under: uncultured bacterium
Lineage: Bacteria
Description: bacterial SSU rRNA
Rfam family: Bacterial small subunit ribosomal RNA
Source: RNAcentral
ACUCCUACGGGAGGCAGCAGUAGGGAAUCUUCCACAAUGGGCGAAAGCCUGAUGGAGCAACGCCGCGUGGGUGAAGAAGGUCUUCGAAUCGUAAAACCCUGUUGUUAGAGAAGAAAGUGCGUGAGAGUAACUGUUCACGUUUCGACGGUAUCUAACCAGAAAGCCACGGCUAACUACGUGCCAGCAGCCGCGGUAAUACGUAGGUGGCAAGCGUUAUCCGGAUUUAUUGGGCGUAAAGGGAACGCAGGCGGUCUUUUAAGUCUGAUGUGAAAGCCUUCGGCUUAACCGGAGUAGUGCAUUGGAAACUGGGAGACUUGAGUGCAGAAGAGGAGAGUGGAACUCCAUGUGUAGCGGUGAAAUGCGUAGAUAUAUGGAAGAACACCAGUGGCGAAAGCGGCUCUCUGGUCUGUAACUGACGCUGAGGUUCGAAAGCGUGGUAGCAAACAGGAUUAGAUACCCCUGGUAGGAAAGCG